ACGGGGGGUGCAAGCGUUGUUCGGAAUUAUUGGGCGUAAAGCGCGUGUAGGCGGUUUGUUAAGUCUGAUGUGAAAGCCCCGGGCUCAACCUGGGAAGUGCAUUGGAAACUGGUAGUCUAGAAUGUGGGAGAGGGAGGUGGAAUUUCUGGUGUAGGGGUAAAAUCCGUAGAUAUCAGAAGGAAUACCGAUUGCGAAGGCGAUUGACUGGAACAUUAUUGACGCUGAGAUGCGAAAGCGUGGGUAGCAAACAG
Molecule: ribosomal RNA, 251 nt
Filed under: uncultured prokaryote
Description: partial 16S rRNA
Rfam family: Bacterial small subunit ribosomal RNA
Source: RNAcentral